Molecule: ribosomal RNA, 406 nt
Filed under: uncultured bacterium
Lineage: Bacteria
Description: partial 16S ribosomal RNA
Rfam family: Bacterial small subunit ribosomal RNA
Source: RNAcentral
AUUGAACGCUGGCGGCAGGCUUAACACAUGCAAGUCGAGCGAGCGGCGGACGGGUGAGUAAUGUCUGGGAAACUGCCUGAUGGAGGGGGAUAACUACUGGAAACGGUAGCUAAUACCGCAUACCAUCAGAUGUGCCCAGAUGGGAUUAGCUUGUAGGUGGGGUAAGGGCUCACCUAGGGGACGAUCCCUAGCUGGUCUGAGAGGAUGACAAGCAACACUGGAAAUGAGACACUGUCCAUACUCCUACGGGAGGCAGCAGUGGGGAAUAUUGCACAAUGGGGGCAAGCCUGAUGCAGCCAUGCCGCGUGUGUGAAGAAGGCCUUCGGGUUGUAAAGCACUUUCAGUGAGGAGGCGUUACCCACAGAAGAAGCACCGGCUAACUCCGUGCCAGCAGCCGCGGUAAUUC